This 465-nucleotide ribosomal RNA is filed under the name uncultured bacterium. RNAcentral describes it as "partial 16S ribosomal RNA". It matches the Rfam family "Bacterial small subunit ribosomal RNA", at positions 28 to 507 of the family's 1533-position model. The record is from RNAcentral.
GAUGAACGCUGGCGGCGUGCUUAACACAUGCAAGUCGAACGGAAAGGCUCCUGCUUGCAGGGGUACUCGAGUGGCGAACGGGUGAGUAACACGUGGGUGAUCUGCCCUGCACUUCGGGAUAAGCCUGGGAAACUGGGUCUAAUACCGGAUAGGACGAUGGUUUGGAUGCCAUUGUGGUAAGUUUUUCGGUGUGGGAUGAGCUCGCGGCCUAUCAGCUUGUUGGUGGGGUAAUGGCCUACCAAGGCGUCGACGGGUAGCCGGCCUGAGAGGGUGUACGGCCACAUUGGGACUGAGAUACGGCCCAGACUCCUACGGGAGGCAGCAGUGGGGAAUAUUGCACAAUGAGAGCAAGCCUGAUGCAGCGUAGCCGCGUGUGGGAUGACGGCAUUCGGGUUGUAAGCUGGUGUAGCUAGGGACGAAGCGAAAGUAACGGUACCUGGAGAAGAAGCACCGGCUAACUACGUG